This 374-nucleotide long non-coding RNA is filed under the name Sinocyclocheilus grahami. Its description in RNAcentral is "lncRNA (ENSSGRG00000024076.1)". The record is from RNAcentral. Lineage: Eukaryota; Metazoa; Chordata; Actinopteri; Cypriniformes; Cyprinidae.
AUUUCAUAGUGGACCUCAGAUUUAUCUUCGAGGGCAGACAACUGGAGGUGGGUCGUACACUUGGCUCUUAUGGCGUACUAAACGAAUCUACUAUUCAUGCAGUUCAACGUCUACGUGGUGGAGAGAGCUGUGCACCUGAAGAUGAAGAUGAAGAUGAAGGAAUGUCCAGGACUCAAUCAAUGGAAGUAUUAGCUGAAAUGCAGAAGACUGAGCCAGAGUAGAUCAUGUUGCAUUUCAGUGCAGCCUCAUAUAAAUCCACAUACUGUACAUACUGUAUAUUCAUCCUGUGGGUGUAUCUUUCAAAUUUACUACCUUAAAAUAUACUAUCAAAGGAUAUUAUCUUCUGAUUUCAGCCUUUUAAAGUCAAAUAUUUC